GAUGAAGAACGCAGCGAAAUGCGAUAAGUAGUGUGAAUUGCAGAAUUCAGUGAAUCAUCGAAUCUUUGAACGCACAUUGCGGCCAUAGGUAUUCCUUUGGCCAUGCCUGUUCGAGCGUCAUUUACACCCUCAAGCCUAGCUUGGUGUUGGGCGUCUGUCCCGCCGUUCUCGCGCGCGGACUCGCCCCAAAGUCAUUGGCGGCGGUCGUGCCGGCCCCCUCGCGCAGCACAUUUGCGCUUCUCGGAGGCCCGGCGGAUCCGCGCUCCAGCAAGACCUUUCACGACUUGACCUCGGAUCAGGUAGGGAUACCCGCUGAACUUAAGCAUAUCAAUAAGCGGAGGA
RNAcentral lists this unclassified non-coding RNA (342 nucleotides) under soil metagenome. Its description in RNAcentral is "partial contains 5.8S ribosomal RNA, internal transcribed spacer 2, and large subunit ribosomal RNA". The stretch from base 1 to 120 matches the Rfam family "5.8S ribosomal RNA", at positions 35 to 154 of the family's 154-position model. The record is from RNAcentral.